UUGGCUGUGGAGCCUUGUUUGGGUGUGAGAAAGAGAGGAAAGUCAGCAGCUAAUAAAGCAUAGGGGAACAAAAGCCAGGAGUGGAGAGGAGGCGGGAGCAGGAGAGAAGCAGAGUGGGCACUCAGGUGGUGUGAAGCUGAGAGAGGUGAAAGGGGACAGAAUAAAAUAAAUGAAAAAAUGGAAAGCCCACAGACUACAAUGGAGAAGGAAUGCCCUUAGACUAUACUGGAACAGAAAGAUAAACAGCUCAAAGAUUAUAAUCCCUGACUCAAUUCAUAAAACGGAAAAGAUAAUUUCUAGUCAAUUACAUUGUAUUAACUAAAUUGUCCAAAAUAAUGUACAAAUUAAAAGUGUAAUAACAAGACA
Non-coding RNA from Lepisosteus oculatus (spotted gar), 366 nucleotides. The record is from RefSeq and is a predicted model, not a curated record. Lineage: Eukaryota; Metazoa; Chordata; Actinopteri; Semionotiformes; Lepisosteidae.